UUGUAGUAAAAAAAACUGCAUGGUAC
Molecule: non-coding RNA, 26 nt
Filed under: Mus musculus (house mouse)
Lineage: Eukaryota; Metazoa; Chordata; Mammalia; Rodentia; Muridae
Source: RNAcentral